Lentinula lateritia is the source of this 95-nucleotide non-coding RNA. NCBI's taxonomy places the organism in Eukaryota, Fungi, Basidiomycota, Agaricomycetes, Agaricales, Omphalotaceae. The record is from the annotation of a GenBank genome assembly.
GGUUCAAUGGCUCAAUGGUAAAGCAUUUGAUAAAUAGUUUCUUGAAGGUCCAUUCAUAUCAUCAGAAGGCUGGGGUUCGAAUCCAUACUGAGAGU